UGAGGAAUUUUGCGCAAUGGGGGAAACCCUGACGCAGCAACGCCGCGUGAGUGAAGAAGGCCUUCGGGUUGUAAAGCUCUGUCAAGUGGGAAGAACCUUUCUCGGUCGAAUAAGCCGAGAAACUGACGGUACCGCUGAAGGAAGCACCGGCUAACUCCGUGCCAGCAGCCGCGGUAAUACGGAGGGUGCAAGCGUUAUUCGGAUUUAUUGGGCGUAAAGGGCGUGUAGGUGGUCUGAUAAGUCAGGUGUGAAAGCCCCUGGCUCAACCAGGGAAGUGCAUUUGAAACUAUCAGACUUGAGUACGGGAGGGGGAAGUGGAAUUCCUGGUGUAGAGGUGAAAUUCGUAGAUAUCAGGAGGAAUACCGGUGGCGAAGGCGACUUCCUGGACCGAUACUGACACUGAGACGCGAAAGCGUGGGGAGCAAACAGG
RNAcentral lists this ribosomal RNA (430 nucleotides) under uncultured Syntrophobacterales bacterium. RNAcentral describes it as "bacterial SSU rRNA". It matches the Rfam family "Bacterial small subunit ribosomal RNA", at positions 355 to 776 of the family's 1533-position model. The record is from RNAcentral. Lineage: Bacteria; Pseudomonadati; Thermodesulfobacteriota; Syntrophobacteria; Syntrophobacterales.